GCAGCGACCACAGACAGAGCGCCAUCUAGGGAGGUACGAAGAAGAAGCCGAAACACAAAAAAAACACGAUUAUUAUUAUUGUUGUUGUUGUUUUUUGUUUACAGAUUUUUUUCCUCUCUCUUGACCACCAUCUGUGGCAAUGAGAGAGAUUGAAACAAGGUCAUAUAUAUAUAUAAAGAGAGAUCAUCAUCACAUUAUUAAUUUUAAAACAUUUUGACGUUGUGACACAGACAGAAUUAAGCCCCUCCUCCCCGUGUCUGUAGUCCUUGUGAUUGGCUACAAUAUGCAUAGAUACAGGGAUCAGCUUUAUGGUUCAGUCCCACUGACGUCACACACACACACACACACACACACACACACACACACACACACACUGGGAGGACAGUGGCGAGGAGGAGGAGGAAGCACGCCGAUUUCUCUACCUUUUCGUAAGACAGCAUUUUUGGGGGGGGGUGAAACCGCUGAGCUCUUCCAAGCAGGUACAAACUAACUCACACAACCAGAAGUCGUUUCAGUGCUAGAAGAUGGAUGCAUCCGACAAGGAGAGAAUCUGGGGAGACACUGGCUCCAUUUCAGGUCUAACCAGAACCACACCAGAACCACGGGUCAGGACACUGACCGACCCCACACCAGAUCUACA
Molecule: long non-coding RNA, 640 nt
Organism: Oncorhynchus tshawytscha (Chinook salmon)
Lineage: Eukaryota; Metazoa; Chordata; Actinopteri; Salmoniformes; Salmonidae
Source: Ensembl